AGUGAACGCUGGCGGCAGGCCUAACACAUGCAAGUCGAACGGCAGCAGAGUACUUGCUCGUUGAUACGGCGGCGGACGGGUGGGUAGGUCCUGAAAACCUGGGUGUUUAUGUUGUCGAACGGGCUAACGCGGGGGCUCAUACGCCAAUAGUGCAGACGGCCUACGGGUGAAAGCAUGGGACCUUCGGAUCUCGCGUGAUCGUAUGAGCGGAUGUCGGAUUAGCUAGUUGGUGGGGUAAAGGCCCACCAAGGCGACGAUCCGUAGCUGGUCUGAGAGGAUGAUCAGCCACACUGGAACUGAGACACGGUCCAGACUCCUACGGGAGGCAGCAGUGGGGAAUAUUGGACAAUGGGCGCAAGCCUGAUCCAGCCAUACCGCGUGUGUGAAGAAGGUCUUCGGAUUGUAAAGCCCUUUUGGUGGGGAAGAAAAGCAGCAAGUUAAUACCCCGCUGUUCUGACGGUACCAAAAGAAUAAGCACCGGCUAACUUCGUG
RNAcentral lists this ribosomal RNA (492 nucleotides) under uncultured bacterium. RNAcentral describes it as "partial 16S ribosomal RNA". It matches the Rfam family "Bacterial small subunit ribosomal RNA", at positions 29 to 507 of the family's 1533-position model. The record is from RNAcentral.